UGAAAGUCCCGUAUUUUUUGGAUUAAAAAUGGAUUUAUUAUGAAGUAAACAAAAUAAGACUAUUAAAUGAAAAUUUAGAAAAUAAAGUAUAAUUCAAAAAAACAAGGGCUAUUUGAUCUCCCUCAUUAAUUGAGGUGGCAGAUCUAAUGGACAAGCGUGCGCGUCCCACCAAAGACCCGAGUCAAUGCGCCACACCAAUGUUACGCAGAAUCAAGGGCCAAG
RNAcentral lists this long non-coding RNA (222 nucleotides) under Lathyrus oleraceus (garden pea). Its description in RNAcentral is "Pisum sativum (pea) long non-coding RNA (PSAT_LNC037248)". Lineage: Eukaryota; Viridiplantae; Streptophyta; Magnoliopsida; Fabales; Fabaceae. The record is from RNAcentral.